AUGUCUCAGUACAGACCGAUAAACGGUGAAACCGCGAAUGGCUCAUUAAAUCAGUCGUAAUUUACUGGAUCUCGAUCCAACCUUACUUGGAUAACUGUGGUAAUUCUAGAGCUAAUACAUGCAACCGAGCUCCGACCCCGCCUCGGUGGGGAAAGGGCGCAUUUAUUAGACCAAAAACCGAUCCGCCCCCUCGACGGGGCGGUCGUGGUGACUCUGAAUAACUCAGCCGAGCGCUACGGUCCUUGGACCAGCGCCGUAUCCUCCGAGUGUCUGCCUUAUCAGCUUUAUCGUAAGCUAUGGGCUUACGAUGGCUGUAACGGGUAACGGGGAAUCAGGGUUCGAUUCCGGAGAGGGAGCCUGAGAAACGGCUACCACAUCUAAGGAAGGCAGCAGGCACGCAAAUUACCCACUCCCGGCUCGGGGAGGUAGUGACGAAAAAUACCGAUGCGGGACUCUUCCGAGGCCUCGCCAUCGGAUUGAGCUCAACCUAAAUCCUUGGACGAGAUUCCAUUGGAGGGCAAGUCUGGUGCCAGCAGCCGCGGUAAUUCCAGCUCCAAUAGCAUAUAUUAAAGUUGCUGCGGUUAAAAAGCUCAUAGUUGGAUCUGUCGUCCGGACUGGCGGCCCGCUAAGGGCUAGACCACCGUCGUUGGGCCUUAUAACCCUUCGGCUCGCGUCUGGCCUGGCGGUAAACUGUCCAGCUCCGGAUCGUAAAAUCCGCCGGCGAGCGAGGGAUGCCUAACAGUGUCCCGAGCGCCCCGGCAAGUUCACUUUGAAUAAAUUAGAGUGCUCAAAGCAGGCAAAAACUCACGCCUGAAUGGUGGUGCAUGGAAUGAUGGAACAGGACCUCGGUUCUGCCCUGUUUGUUGGUCGGUUUCUUCGGAACCGAGGUAAUGAUUAAAAGAAACAGACGGGGGCAUUCGUAUUGCGACGCUAGAGGUGAAAUUCUUGGACCGUCGCAAGACGAACUACUGCGAAAGCAUUUGCCAAGAAUGUUUUCAUUAAUCAAGAACGAAAGUUAGAGGAUCGAAGGCGAUCAGAUACCGCCCUAGUUCUAACCGUAAACGAUGCUACCUGGCGAUCCGCCGGCGUCAUACCCACGACUCGGCGGGGAGCCUCCGGGAAACCAAAGGUUUCGAGUUCCGGGGGAAGUAUGGUUGCAAAGCUGAAACUUAAAGGAAUUGACGGAAGGGCACCACCAGGAGUGGAGCCUGCGGCUUAAUUUGACUCAACACGGGGAAACUUACCAGGUCCAGACACCGAAAGGAUUGACAGAUUGAGAGCUCUUUCUCGAUACGGUGGGUGGUGGUGCAUGGCCGUUUUUAGUUGGUGGAGCGAUCUGUCUGGUUGAUUCCGAUAACGAACGAGACUCUGCCCUGCUAAAUAGUCGUCGAAUCGACUCCCGAGACGGGGGCAGCGGGUGCCGUCUCUUCUCUUCUCGAGCGCUCGUUUCCGCCGCCGCUUUGGAGUAGUCCUUUUUCCCCGUCCCAGCCUUUAAACGGGAUGGUCAACGGGGUUGGGGGCCUUCGAACGCGCGCGCGUGGAGCACGCUUGUUGUUAGAGGGAGUAACGUCUCCGUUCGCUUCCCAACGAGGGGCGUUCGUCGCAAAUGUCUUCUUAGAGGGAUCGGCGGCGUUUAGUCGCACGAAAUGGAGCAAAAACAGGUCUGUGAUGCCCUUAGAUGUUCUGGGCCGCACGCGCGCUACAAUGAAGGGCGCAGCGUGCUAUCCCCCUCCGAAAGGAGCGGGUAAUCCCUUGAAACCCCUUCCCGAUUGGGAUUGGGGUCUGAAAAUAUUUCCCAUGAACGAGGAAUUCCUAGUAAGCGCGAGUCAUCAGCUCGCGCUGAUUAAGUCCCUGCCCUUUGUACACACCGCCCGUCGCUACUACUGAUUGAAUGAUUCAGUGAGGGCAUCGGACUGGCGCCCUCG
This 1925-nucleotide ribosomal RNA is filed under the name Hemilamprops uniplicatus. RNAcentral's name for it is "SSU rRNA". It matches the Rfam family "Eukaryotic small subunit ribosomal RNA". The record is from RNAcentral. Lineage: Eukaryota; Metazoa; Arthropoda; Malacostraca; Cumacea; Lampropidae.